RNAcentral lists this ribosomal RNA (466 nucleotides) under uncultured bacterium. Its description in RNAcentral is "partial 16S ribosomal RNA". It matches the Rfam family "Bacterial small subunit ribosomal RNA", at positions 28 to 505 of the family's 1533-position model. The record is from RNAcentral.
GACGAACGCUGGCGGCGUGCUUAACACAUGCAAGUCGAACGGAAAGGCCCUGCUUUUGUGGGGUGCUCGAGUGGCGAACGGGUGAGUAACACGUGAGUAACCUGCCCUUGACUUUGGGAUAACUUCAGGAAACUGGGGCUAAUACCGGAUAGGAGCUCCUGCUGCAUGGUGGGGGUUGGAAAGUUUCGGCGGUUGGGGAUGGACUCGCGGCUUAUCAGCUUGUUGGUGGGGUAGUGGCUUACCAAGGCUUUGACGGGUAGCCGGCCUGAGAGGGUGACCGGCCACAUUGGGACUGAGAUACGGCACAGACUCCUACGGGAGGCAGCAGUGGGGAAUAUUGCACAAUGGGCGGAAGCCUGAUGCAGCAACGCCGCGUGCGGGAUGACGGCCUUCGGGUUGUAAACCGCUUUCGCCUGUGACGAAGCGUGAGUGACGGUAAUGGGUAAAGAGGCACCGGCUAACUACG